This 210-nucleotide long non-coding RNA is filed under the name Lathyrus oleraceus (garden pea). RNAcentral describes it as "Pisum sativum (pea) long non-coding RNA (PSAT_LNC036450)". Lineage: Eukaryota; Viridiplantae; Streptophyta; Magnoliopsida; Fabales; Fabaceae. The record is from RNAcentral.
UUGGGCUUCGCCUAGCGAAGAAUUUGCUCGCCUAGCGAGCAUGACAGUUCAGACUCUGGUGGCUCGCUAGGCGAACCAUUAUGCUCGCCUAGCGAGCAUGACAGUUCAAGUCAUCUUUCCAAAUUUGUAACCUGUGCGUUAGACCUUUGUUCCUUCAAGAGUAAUAUGUUGAAUGAUGAAUAGGCCUCAUUUGAACAUGUUGGAAGUAAC